GUGUACACCGUCAGCCCAACCCCCUCCCCUUACCGAACUCUUCACAUCGGGUAGCACUGAAUCACAUAUAGGUACACACUGUCCAGAUACCGUAUCCAGCUCAUCAUUGCAGCCACAGCCGCUCCUCCGCCCUCCCUCCCUGGGCAUUCUCGUCCCCUUCCCUCCCUCCCUCUCUCUGCUCCAAACUCACGUACGUCACCGGAUCGGAGGAGCGAUGUCCCUGUCUGCCGCAUCGUCCAUCGCCUUCCGCGAGGAGGCGCCCAACAAAAAGCAUCGGGAGGACACGAGGAUAACCGAGAGUGUCGCCACCAUCUCCAUACGGGAGGAGCCCAGCGAAGGCCACCGGGACGACAAGGUAGCCGAGAGUGUCGCCACCAUCUCCAUACGGGAGGAGCCCAGCGAAGGCCACCGGGACGACAAGGUAGCCGAGAGUGUCGCCACCAUCUCCAUACGGGAGGAGCCCAGCGAAGGCCACCGGGACGACAAGGUAGCCGAGAGUGUCACCUCCAUCUCCAUACGGGAGGAGCCCAGCGAAGGCCACCGGGACGACAAGGUAGCCGAGAGUGUCGCCACCAUCUCCAUACGGGAGGAGCCCAGCGAAGGCCACCGGGAGGACAAGGUAGCCGAGAGUGUCGCCACCAUCUCCAUACGGGAGGAGCCCAGCGAAGGCCACCGGGACGACAAGGUAGCCGAGAGUGUCACCUCCAUCUCCAUACGGGAGGAGCCCAGCGAAGGCCACCGGGACGACAAGGUAGCCGAGAGUGUCGCCACCAUCUCCAUACGGGAGGAGCCCAGCGAAGGCCACCGGGACGACAAGGUAGCCGAGAGUGUCGCCACCAUCUCCAUACGGGAGGAGCCCAGCGAAGGCCACCGGGCGGGCAUGAAGGUACACGAGAGUGUCACCUCCAUCUCCAUACGGGAGGAGUCAGCCGAGGAGCCUGAAGAGCUGCACUACGAAAUGAGCAUCAGCACCGCGCCCAACGCAAGCACGCACAAGGAAGACAUCGAGUUCCAAGUGGUGGACGACAUCGCAUCGAAAUCGGAGAGGAGUCUGCCGUACCAGGUCGAGGACAGCCGCACAAACCUUGACCGACUCACAUCCACGCAACAGGAGGAAAGUGCCGCGGCACCGCGGCCGUCGCACCCGAGCGAUGUGGCAGCAGCACCAACCAGUGAUAUCUACGCCCUCAACCCUCCGCCCUCUCGCCUGUCGCAGCGGGCCGCCAAGGCCGCGCAAACGCCUCGCUCGCAGACCAGCGCUCCUAUCACGCCGAGAACCCGGUCGGCAACCAGCACUUACCGCCCACCGGCUCAGCAGCAGCAGGCCAAAGAAGAGAAGCAGGACGCUGAGGUGCAGCCACUGGUCUCUGGUGGCGAGAGCGCACCUACGCCGGAGACCGCCGCCAAUGACUUGUCCAUGGCGGGCGCGGAGUCGACACCAGCUGGCGCCGCCCCGAUGCCCACGCCCGGCGCUACAAGCGCAGGGAUUCCUGACGUGGUCGUUACGGAGCACAAGCGGCAUUUCUCAGGCGACAAGUGGGAGAGUGUGGUGGCAUCCUCGCUCGAUGUGGUGAAGCGGACCGUGUGCAACGAGACGGCGGACGCGAUAGGGGUGGAGUCGCAGUAUGUGCAGGUGCUAAAUGUGGAGGCGACGACGACAGGCAUGACUUGCUACAUCAGUAUUGGCCACUCCCCCAGCAUGACGGCGAGCGAGGUCGAUGAGAAGCUGAGCAACUACCCCUACGAGACAACAAUAACGCUGCCGGACAUCCUCACAGCCGGCGGCGAGCAUCCGCAGUACGGCCUCGGCAGUGCCCUUGCCCCCUCGGAGGGCACGCAGGCGGCAGCGAGUGCGCAUGAGCAGCAGGUGGGGGAAGAAGAGGAGGGGGAAGCCGAAGCUGAAGCGUCGGAGGAGCCUCCAAAGAAGGCGAAGAGAAAGACGGAAAGAGCACACAAGAAACUCGAAAACGGCUCAGCGGCCUCAGAUGCCCAGAAGGCCACGGCUCGCCCCUCGGUCCGCGCACUCCACAAGAAGUUGGGGCUCAAGGCGCUUCCCGAACUGCUCGUCACUCCGCGGAUCUACCAUUACCGCUCGCCGCGUCCAGGCGCGGAGCAUAGCAUGGAUAAGGGGAGCAUUCUCUACUUGGAGGGUCCCAGGGAGGGUACUGGCGGGCUCAGCAGCCGCUACUCGACCUCCACUGCGACGCCGCACCGCGGCACUAACGGCGUGAAUGGCAUAAACGGCAGUCGUAGCCCAUCCGCUCCGACUUACCGCAGCGGGUCCAUCAGAAAUUCGGUGCACAUCCCACCACAGCGCGUGGAGCGCGGUGUCGUCUCCCUGGCACUCCGUAAGCGCCAGAUAAUCCAGGCGGCGGCGCCGCCGUCGCCUCCACAGCAGCAGCAGCGCGCAACGGCAGCGCCCGCAGACGAUGCCAGCGCGCACCGCUACAUGAACGGAGUCGAUCACACGGCUAACACGCACUCAGUCUCCCGCCGCUCCCGUUCCCGCUCCCCACAGCAGCUGGCGCUCGCCCCGGCGACGGACUCGGCGUCCGAUGCGGCUUCCGAAGAGGCGGCAGUGACGGCCGCUCCCAUGGCCGCCAGCGGCUCAGCGGCCGAUCAGGAUGACUACAUUCUCAUGACUCAAGGUGUCGAGGAGGCGGCAGACGCGGAAGAGUUGCUGCAGAAGCAGAAGGCAGUGGCAGAGUACGACACUGCCGAUGACGAGGACGAUCCGGUUCCGGCCCCCGCGCCCAACCCGUUUGUGUAGGCCAAUCGAUCGACCAAUACGAAAGGGAGAGUAAAGGCAGCCCCGACCUCCGAAGGAAUACACUGUGCAUCUUUUCCCGCAUGCCUUCAUACACCACGUGGGAUGGCGAGAGGGCGUUUACGGGCUCCUUCGUGCCUUUCCCACCCACCCACCCACCCCUCCUCCUCCCUCCCUCCCUUGGCGACAGGCAUUUACUUCUCGACUUUUCUUUCUUCUCAGAACAGAUAUCGAUGCAGUGGCACACAAGCACAUGCACAAACGCACGCACGCGCGCGCGCCUCCGUACGUCUUCCCGUUGCACCUCCGAUAAACGCUGUGGGGCUUCUCGAAGGAUCGAAAAAGUGAAAAAAGGCAAGCGAGAAGGACUGCUGGCACACGCGCUUAUCCACAGAAUGGAGGCCUGGAGAGGCGAAUGGUCGGGCAAACUCAUGAAGUUGAAGGGUGUCACCUCCCCGAUGACGCCCUGUGUAUACGGGUGUGUAUAUAUAUAUAUAUAUGUGUGUGUGCGGUGAGCGAUGAGUGGUGGCUCAAGGUUCGUGGGUAACGCAUGGCGUGCCUCCGCCCUUGCCCUCCCCUUCUUUCCUCCUCUUUUUCCUCUCGGUUUUCGUCUUUUCGCGGUCAUGUCGCGUUCUGUUAUCGCUGAGAUCUGUGGUGUUGUCUUACCCUGUACCGACCCCUUGCCUUCUAUGCUUUUUCUUCUUUCAUCUUUUUGCGCUCCCAAGACGUUUAGGCCCUGAGGAUGCCAUCCACCUCGCCCUGGUAUCAGGGCCUAGUAUCCCCACACUCUUCGUGUCGGCGGACAGGUCUGGGCUGGUGCUGUGCCGAAGAGACCUGCAGUCAUGACCACGCUUGGAGCAGCUCACUGCGUAUUGUGUCGACGCUUCAACGAAUGCUCGCAUGCACCUCCUGUUUUCUGCUUUAGCUGCGUUGUGGCAAUGCCGAGCGUAAUCCUGGGCCCACCCUGCGCUGCUCGCAGCGACAUUGCAGUGGGGGUGGGGGUGGGGGGCCGAAACGACAUCGAGCGAUGUUGGCUUGGCCCGAUGCGCUUGGCUUAGCCGUAGUGCCGCAGAGGUCGAUGAGCUGUGGUGUUGCCAUGCGUGUGUGCGUAUGUGGUUGACCUGUUCGAAUGUGGGCACGUUGCCAAAGCAUUUUUUUUUUUCGAAGUCAAGCACACGUUUGUUUGCGUUUACGUUUGUUUGUUGCUCAUUAGGUGCGCCCUCUACCCCCCCCCCUCUCCUCCACCUUUUUUUGUAAGGGCUUACGGUUUUGUUUGGUCCUCUCCGCCACCUGUUUUCUUUUUGAUUUUGGUUGUGCGUUACUCAAAUCGUACGCGUUCGCUGUUAAAGGAUGGUGCGGGUGCCGGUGUGUGUGUGUGUUGUGCCCUCAUGCACCGCUUCGCGCUCCUCCUCCCCCCUUCCUCCUCUUCCGCCGCCCCCCCCUAUCUCACGCACGCACAUAGAAUGGCACACACAUGCAACCGCGCGCGCGCGGUUGCAUGAGGAGAAGGACUGAGCGUCACUCUCCAAGUCUCUUGUGCUCUUUUUUUAUGUGUGUGGAAGUAUGUAGGCAUGGACAGCUGCAGUGGCGCUGCGGGUUUGUAUCGAGUGCAGUGCACGUCUGGCUCCGUAUAAGCGUGGACGUGCAACUCUUUGGUUCACCCUCUCCUUCUCUCCUGUUGCGGUUGUUGCCUUCGUCUUGUUCUCUCUGCGCGUGUCUGAAUGUGCCAUUACGUAGUGGCAUCUGUGGUGUGGUGUCCUUGUUCGUUCCUUCGCUGUGUGCCGACCUCCACCUCUUUUCUGUAUGCCUCCCUCUCUUUGCGUGCCGUCUCUGUCUCUCCGUCCCCAUAAGGCGCGCUUACAUGUACGCAGAUAUUUACGCGUCCUUCGUGGGGAGGGGAGGGGAGGGGGGAGUUGAUUGGCCUCGGUAGUAUUUCUCCGGUUGUUUUCGCUUUUUUUUUGCUUUCAUAGAGGGGAGGAGGCGUGCGGCGCAGUAUGUCGUCGUUUCGGAGGGAGGGAGUUUUGUGUUAUUUUGUCUGUGAACGCUUGUAAAACCGUACCUGUAUGCGCACGCAUCUCUUGUUGUGGUGACCACCAACUCCCUCACCCACACCCUCACCCCCUCCGCCGGUCCCCUUGCCAGACUUCCUUCCGCGUUGCGUGUUGCGUUGUGCCUUGUGCGUGUGUGCAUGCGGUUUGUCUUCGAGAGCUGCUUUGGUGUCGCCGUCGUCUCUUCGUCUUUCUCAUUCCCUUCCACGCAACAGUCGAAGAAGAGGAAUAUGACAAAAAGCGGAGGGCAGGACCGCGAGUACGCACAGCAGCAUCACCAUCGCUACGGACAGGUGUCGCGCACAGCGUCAGGGGAGAGGAGGCGUGGAUGGGGAAGAAGGGGGGGGGACGAAAAGAAACAGUUAGCACUGGUAGUGCACACUUGGUGGGGUCGCACACGAGAAUAGGAAGUUAGAAGCGAUGUGGAAAGACGGUAUGGUGUGGUGCGUGCUGUAUCGGUUGGGUGGGAGCAGCGGCUGCGCGUGAUAGGCACGGCACAAGGGCGAAGAGUGCCGCGAGGUGUGUACCUGAGCCCGCUCGAUUCACUGGCCUCCACCCACCCCCUAUUGCUCCGUCCAUCUCUGCCCUGCUUCCCUCAUCCUUUCUCCGCGCGUGACCGCUUGAAGAAGUCUGUGGUCGAGCAUUUUGAAAGUGUAGGGAAGCAGCAGAUGUGCGUCUGCGCCUAUGUGCAUCAACGUAGCGUAAUAUGGUGCUCACCUUACGCUUCCGAUGAAGGCCCAUGCACAGAAGGCCCUUCUCAAAGAGGUGGUGCUGUUGGUAGUGCGCCCCCCUCCUCAACACACCACCCUCCCGGCGCGGGGAAGGUUCAUCCGCUGAAGGUGAAUGCUGUGACCCAUCCUUCUUUGCGAGCCUCUUUCUUAUCUGCAAAACGCCAUCGUGUUGCCACCGGCGCCUCCCCACCCUCCCUGUCCUCGUAGCCCACCAACACAU
Molecule: unclassified non-coding RNA, 5766 nt
Filed under: Leishmania donovani
Lineage: Eukaryota; Euglenozoa; Kinetoplastea; Trypanosomatida; Trypanosomatidae
Description: gene:LdHU3.25.1420(CDS-product:hypothetical_prote in_conserved)
Source: RNAcentral